RNAcentral lists this ribosomal RNA (303 nucleotides) under uncultured Brevundimonas sp. RNAcentral's name for it is "bacterial SSU rRNA". It matches the Rfam family "Bacterial small subunit ribosomal RNA", at positions 996 to 1320 of the family's 1533-position model. The record is from RNAcentral. Lineage: Bacteria; Pseudomonadati; Pseudomonadota; Alphaproteobacteria; Caulobacterales; Caulobacteraceae.
UACCCCCAAAAAAGGGUUUUCCCUUCGGGGAUUUGGGGACCAGGUUUGCCAAGGCCUUUUCAAACCCUUUUUCUAAAAUUUUGGGUUAAGUCCCGCAACGAGCGCAACCCUUGCCAUUAGUUGCCAUCAUUCAGUUGGGAACUCUAAUGGGCCUGCCGGUGCUAAGCCGGAGGAAGGUGGGGAUGACGUCCAAGUCCUCAUGGCCCUUACAGGGUGGGCUACACACGUGCUACAAUGGCAACUACAGAGGGUUAAUCCUUAAAAGUUGUCUCAGUUCGGAUUGUCCUCUGCAACUCGAGGGCA